CAGUCGCCACGGUAAUACGUAGGGUGCAAGCGUUAAUCGGAAUUACUGGGCGUAAAGCGUGCGCAGGCGGUUAUAUAAGACAGAUGUGAAAUCCCCGGGCUCAACCUGGGAACUGCAUUUGUGACUGUAUAGCUAGAGUACGGCAGAGGGGGAUGGAAUUCCGCGUGUAGCAGUGAAAUGCGUAGAUAUGCGGAGGAACACCGAUGGCGAAGGCAAUCCCCUGGGCCUGUACUGACGCUCAUGCACGAAAGCGUGGGGAGCAAACAGGAUUAGAUACCCAAGUAGUCCCUGUCUCUUAUAC
RNAcentral lists this ribosomal RNA (301 nucleotides) under uncultured bacterium. RNAcentral's name for it is "partial 16S ribosomal RNA". It matches the Rfam family "Bacterial small subunit ribosomal RNA", at positions 509 to 807 of the family's 1533-position model. The record is from RNAcentral.